This 484-nucleotide ribosomal RNA is filed under the name uncultured bacterium. RNAcentral's name for it is "partial 16S ribosomal RNA". It matches the Rfam family "Bacterial small subunit ribosomal RNA", at positions 30 to 507 of the family's 1533-position model. The record is from RNAcentral.
AUUGAACGCUGGCGGCAGGCCUAACACAUGCAAGUCGAGCGGAUGAAGGGAGCUUGCUCCUGGAUUCAGCGGCGGACGGGUGAGUAAUGCAUAGGUAUCUGCCUGGUAGUGGGGGAUAACGUCCGGAAACGGGCGCUAAUACCGCAUACGUCCUGAGGGAGAAAGUGGGGGAUCUUCGGACCUCACGCUAUCAGAUGAGCCUAGGUCGGAUUAGCUAGUUGGUGGGGUAAAGGCCUACCAAGGCGACGAUCCGUAACUGGUCUGAGAGGAUGAUCAGUCACACUGGAACUGAGACACGGUCCAGACUCCUACGGGAGGCAGCAGUGGGGAAUAUUGGACAAUGGGCGAAAGCCUGAUCCAGCCAUGCCGCGUGUGUGAAGAAGGUCUUCGGAUUGUAAAGCACUUUAAGUUGGGAAGAAGGGCAGUAAGUUAAUACCUUGCUGUUUUGACGUUACCAACAGAAUAAGCACCGGCUAACUUCGUG